UCAGAUAGCUGAUACUCCGCUUCCUUAUUAUUCAGAGUGUCUGUUACCUGACC
This is a microRNA precursor of Gallus gallus (chicken), 53 nucleotides long. Lineage: Eukaryota; Metazoa; Chordata; Aves; Galliformes; Phasianidae. The record is from Ensembl.